Molecule: long non-coding RNA, 1068 nt
Organism: Helianthus annuus (common sunflower)
Lineage: Eukaryota; Viridiplantae; Streptophyta; Magnoliopsida; Asterales; Asteraceae
Exons: 3
Source: RefSeq, a predicted model, not a curated record
UCCCGCCCAACAGUACCACUGCCCUCCUCUAUUUAUAUCAUCCCUCAUUUACUCAUUUAGGGCUAAUGCUUUCUUUCUCUCUCUGCUCUGCUCUAUUCCGAUCGAUGUUUAUCCUCUCUGAUGUUUAUCUUUCUUCUUCUUCUUCUUCUUCUUCUUCUUCUUCUCAUAGUCAUCUCCUCAACAAUGUACGGCAGAGGUUACUUCUAUUGGAUACAUCUGCGUUUGAAACCCUAAAUCGUGUACCGUCGAGUGGUUGAAGAAGAGAAUAAUCAUAAGAAGAAACAGAUCUCCUAGGGUUUCUUAUCGUACUCGAUGAACGCUUUUGUACAAGCUCCUCUUAAUCGGUGACUCUGCUAUGUUUGCUUUGUUGUAUCAUGUGAUUACGAGUAGAUUUAUUUUGAUAUGUUUUGUACUUUGUCUUUCUAAAGCUUUUUUGUUGGUUUAUAGAGUUUGUUGAUUAGAAGCAACCUCUGCCGGACGGUUGUUGAGGAGAUGGAAAUGUGAAAGGUGAUACCAGGUGUGUUGAUAGGUGAUACCAGUACAAAAGUUUAGGACAUCACCAAGAUCUCCCGUCAUCUCAAUUUGAGCAAUUAAACGUAGUUUUGUUAAUCACUAUCGGUGUUUUAAUUACUAGCAGUGCUUAAAAAGUUUUCCAUCAGCUGUUUGACUUAACAAUAGUUUGCGUUAUUUAUUCUAAAUUCAUCAGUUUUUGUAGGUAAACUGAAGUUUCCUACAAUAGGCACUGCCCAGCUAAGUUUCCUACAAUGACAGUGGUUAUAACAAGUUAAUAUGGCAAAUCACUGAUCUGCCUAACAAGUGUUGGAUAUAACGAUGGUUGUACAUAAAGUUUGAUAAACAUCAUCCACUGUUCAAUUAUGAAAAACCACUGAUCAAGACCAAAGUCCAGACAAGCACUGAUCAACUAAAUGUGAAACACUCUCCAACAACAGUGGUUCCCCAUCAACAUUAAUUGUUCUAUCUUUGUUUAUGUUAACAGUGUUUAUUCUAUCUUUGUUUAUUUUAACAGUGUUUAUAUGUAACAUAAUUUAUCCUAUCACUUCAGUGUUU